GAAAAUCCUAGAAUUGACGGUU
This 22-nucleotide non-coding RNA is filed under the name Arabidopsis thaliana (thale cress). Lineage: Eukaryota; Viridiplantae; Streptophyta; Magnoliopsida; Brassicales; Brassicaceae. The record is from RNAcentral.